RNAcentral lists this ribosomal RNA (1050 nucleotides) under Bdellovibrio sp. P. Its description in RNAcentral is "bacterial SSU rRNA". It matches the Rfam family "Bacterial small subunit ribosomal RNA", at positions 99 to 1164 of the family's 1533-position model. Lineage: Bacteria; Pseudomonadati; Bdellovibrionota; Bdellovibrionia; Bdellovibrionales; Pseudobdellovibrionaceae. The record is from RNAcentral.
CGCACGGGUGAGGAACGCGUGGAUAAUCUGCCUUAGAGUGGGGGAUAACUAGUCGAAAGAUUAGCUAAUACCGCAUAAGACCACAGGAGCUGCGGCUCUAGGGGUCAAAGGUUUUUCGCUCUAAGAUGAGUCCGCGUAAGAUUAGCUAGUUGGUGAGGUAACGGCUCACCAAGGCGACGAUCUUUAACUGGUCUGAGAGGAUGAUCAGUCACACUGGAACUGAGACACGGUCCAGACUCCUACGGGAGGCAGCAGUAGGGAAUAUUGCACAAUGGAGGAAACUCUGAUGCAGCGACGCCGCGUGAGUGAUGAAGGCCUUCGGGUCGUAAAGCUCUGUCGCAGGGGAAUAACACAAUGAAUGUACCCUGUAAGAAAGGAUCGGCUAACUUCGUGCCAGCAGCCGCGGUAAGACGAGGGAUCCUAGCGUUGUUCGGAAUUAUUGGGCGUAAAGCGGAUGUAGGUGGCUUUGUAAGUCAGAUGUGAAAGCCCAGGGCUCAACCCUGGAAGUGCAUUUGAUACUGCGAAGCUUGAGUGUCGGAGAGGUUACUAGAAUUGUUGGUGUAGUGGUGAAAUACGUAGAUAUCAACAGGAAUACCGGAGGCGAAGGCGGGUAACUGGCCGAACACUGACACUGAGAUCCGAAAGCGUGGGGAUCAAACAGGAUUAGAUACCCUGGUAGUCCACGCCGUAAACGAUGGAUACUUGUUGUUGGAGGUAUUGACCCCUUCAGUGACGAAGCUAACGCGUUAAGUAUCCCGCCUGGGGAGUACGGUCGCAAGAUUAAAACUCAAAGAAAUUGACGGGGGCCCGCCACAAGCGGUGGAGCAUGUGGUUUAAUUCGAUGCAACGCGAAGAACCCCACCUAGGCUUGACAUGUACUGGAAGACUGGCACAAAUGUCGUCGCCCGCAAGGGUCGGUACACAGGUGCUGCAUGGCUGUUGUCAGCUCGUGUCGUGAGAUGUUGGGUUAAGUCCCGCAACGAGCGCAACCCCUGCAUUUAGUUGCCAGCAUUCAGUUGGGCACUCUAGAUGGACUGCCGGUGUUAAACC